GUUAAGCGACUAAGCGUACACGGUGGAUGCCCUGGCAGUCAGAGGCGAUGAAGGACGUGCUAAUCUGCGAUAAGCGUCGGUGAGGUGAUAUGAACCGUUAUAACCGGCGAUUUCCGAAUGGGGAAACCCAGUGUGUUUCGACACACUAUCAUUAACUGAAUCCAUAGGUUAAUGAGGCGAACCGGGGGAACUGAAACAUCUAAGUACCCCGAGGAAAAGAAAUCAACCGAGAUUCCCCCAGUAGCGGCGAGCGAACGGGGAGGAGCCCAGAGCCUGAAUCAGUGUGUGUGUUAGUGGAAGCGUCUGGAAAGGCGCGCGAUACAGGGUGACAGCCCCGUACACAAAAAUGCACAUAUUGUGAGCUCGAUGAGUAGGGCGGGACACGUGGUAUCCUGUCUGAAUAUGGGGGGACCAUCCUCCAAGGCUAAAUACUCCUGACUGACCGAUAGUGAACCAGUACCGUGAGGGAAAGGCGAAAAGAACCCCGGCGAGGGGAGUGAAAAAGAACCUGAAACCGUGUACGUACAAGCAGUGGG
Molecule: ribosomal RNA, 536 nt
Filed under: Escherichia coli
Lineage: Bacteria; Pseudomonadati; Pseudomonadota; Gammaproteobacteria; Enterobacterales; Enterobacteriaceae
Description: partial 23S ribosomal RNA
Rfam family: Bacterial large subunit ribosomal RNA
Source: RNAcentral